UACGUAGGUGGCAAGCGUUGUCCGGAUUUACUGGGUGUAAAGGGCGUGUAGCCGGGUUGACAAGUCAGAUGUGAAAACCAUGGGCUCAACCUGUGGCCUGCAUUUGAAACUGUUUUUCUUGAGUACUGGAGAGGCAGACGGAAUUCCUAGUGCAGCGGUGAAAUGCGUAGAUAUUAGGAGGAACACCAGUGGCGAAGGCGGUCUGCUGGACAGCAACUGACGCUGAGGCGCGAAAGCGUGGGGAGCAAACAGG
This 253-nucleotide ribosomal RNA is filed under the name uncultured bacterium. Its description in RNAcentral is "partial 16S ribosomal RNA". It matches the Rfam family "Bacterial small subunit ribosomal RNA", at positions 524 to 776 of the family's 1533-position model. The record is from RNAcentral.